Molecule: non-coding RNA, 74 nt
Organism: Parelaphostrongylus tenuis
Lineage: Eukaryota; Metazoa; Nematoda; Chromadorea; Rhabditida; Metastrongylidae
Source: the annotation of a GenBank genome assembly
GCCUCGGUGGUGUAGUGGUAGCACAAGCACUCAAAAUGAGAGAGAGAGAGCGAGUUCAAAGCCCGCCUAAGGCU